GGGCGAAUAGUUUAACGAAUAGAACCUCAGAUUACGGCUCUGAAAGUGGGGGUUUGAUUCCCUCUUCGCCCU
RNAcentral lists this transfer RNA (72 nucleotides) under Flavobacteriaceae bacterium. RNAcentral describes it as "tRNA-Arg". It matches the Rfam family "tRNA". Rfam says of the family: Transfer RNA (tRNA) molecules are approximately 80 nucleotides in length. RNAcentral also lists the same sequence under 3 other names. The record is from RNAcentral. Lineage: Bacteria; Pseudomonadati; Bacteroidota; Flavobacteriia; Flavobacteriales; Flavobacteriaceae.